This 779-nucleotide ribosomal RNA is filed under the name uncultured archaeon. Its description in RNAcentral is "bacterial SSU rRNA". It matches the Rfam family "Archaeal small subunit ribosomal RNA", at positions 85 to 879 of the family's 1478-position model. The record is from RNAcentral.
ACUGCUCAGUAACACGUCGAUAAUCUGCCCUUAGGUCUAUGCGAACCUCGGGAAACUGAGGCUAAACUUGAUAGGGGUUAUGAACUGGAAUGUUCUUUCCCUGAACUAAGGAUGAGUCGGCGGCAGAUUAGGUAGAUGGAGAGGUAACGGCUCACCAUGCCUAAGAUCUGUACGGGCCAUGAGAGUGGUCGCCCGGAGAGGGGUACUGAGAUACUGACCCCAGCCCUACGGGGUGCAGCAGGCGCGGAAACUUUACAAUGCACGCAAGUGUGAUAAGGGAAUCCAAAGUGCUUACGCUUUGCGUAGGCUUUUGCCAAGUCUAAACAGCUUGGAGAAUAAGUGGUGGGUAAGACUGGUGCCAGCAGCCGCGGUAACCCCAGCGCCACGAGUGGGAGUCGCUUUUAUUGGGCCUAAAGCGUCCGUAGCCUGUUUUGUAAGUCUUUUGUGAAAUUGUUAGGCUUAACCUAACAGCGCGCAAGAGAUACUGCAUUUCUAGAGACCGGGAGGAGUAUGGGGUAUUCCAUGGGGAACGGUAAAAUGUAAUAAUCCAUGGAGGACCACCAGUGGCGAAGGCGCCAUACUAGAACGGAUCUGACGGUGAGGGACGAAGGCUAGGGGAGCAAAACGGAUUAGAUACCCGAGUAGUCCUGGCAGUAAACUCUGUAUGCUAGGUGUUGCAUUUUCUUGUGAACGUGCAGUAUCGAAGUGAAGACAUUAAGCAUACCGCCUGGGUAGUACGGUCGCAAGGCUGAAACUUAAAGGAAUUGGCGGGGGAGCAC